GCCACUCAGCAGGUGAUUCUUGGUAUGACUGAAGGGGCCUGGUGACCUUUCUGACUCAGUUUCUUCCUUUGUCUGUAGGAAGCGAUGGUCUCACUAAUUGAAGUCGGUAGCUAGCGUGCUUUGAGAUCCCUGUAUGAGCCCUGCUUUUUCAAGGCGCGUGAUUGCACCCUGCGAUCUUCUACACCAAAGGGGUGAAGUCACACACAUGGAGAAAGAGAGAGGAGGCAACAAAUGUCUCAUAAACACGGUAAUUAACUCUAUGUUACUUUCAAGAUUUGAGGAUGUGCCAAAAGUUGACCCCCAGAGUGUGGAGUGAAUACUGCUUUGGAAAUCAUCGAGAAUCAGUGCUUCAGGAACAUAAUUUACAGGCACAGUAGCUAGACAGCAAGAUUUGCAGUGGAAAAUUCCUCUCACUCCCAGGUUAAAGGAUGGGGAUAAUUCUCCAUCCUUUCUGGACAGGAAAAAUGUGCUUCGAAAUAUGUAAGAGGAAGGCAGAAAAAAGUUUAAAGGGGGGAAUCUACAUGAAUAUUCAUAUGAUCCUGAACGCUCUUGACUAUUUCUAGGGAAAGAUAUAUUGACAUGAAAUCUACUUGGAGGAUUUUCUAUUUUACUUAAAAGGGGAAAAUAGCCAUAAAACUGUUUCUUUCUCUUGUCAACAGCAGUAGAAACCCCCUUUCCACCAAAUGAAGUAAAGGCUACUGUGUCUUAGAUUUUGGGAGGUCUUGUGUAACUACUUGAAUGUCUGUAAACAGGAAAAUAGAAUAGUCCCCCUUCUCUGCCACAUCCCAAAUCAAUGGUUUGACCUUUAAAUUAAAAAUGUUGUAUUAGUUGUUACAGAAGCAAAAUGCCCUAUUAUCCAAAUAGAAUCAUAUGUUUUUUCAAACCUGGUCAUUUAAAAAAAUGUUUCUUAAUGUUUAUUUAUUUUUGAGAGAGACACAGAGAGUGUGAGUGGGGGAGGGGCAGAGAGAGAAGGAGACACAGAAUCUGAAAGACCCUCCAGGCUCCCUGCUGGCAGCGCAGAGCCUGACACGGGGCUCCAAUCCACGAACUGAGAGAUCACGACCUGAGCCGAAGCCGGAAGCUAAACCAACUGAGCCACCCAGGCACCCGUCAAACCUGGUCAUUUAUCAGAAUACUUCUGAAACCUGAUUUCAGGAUUCUUCCUUUCCCUUGAUUGAAUAGAAUCUUUUUAAACCAUAUAAUUUAAAGGUAUAAAAGAACAGCAUUGUAUUUAAGGAAUUCCAAAAUGGUUAUGUGGACUUCUGGCUUGAACUUGGACAUGAUCUCUCAAGAGACUGCAUAUGUGGUACUUAUAU
Molecule: long non-coding RNA, 1316 nt
Filed under: Felis catus (domestic cat)
Lineage: Eukaryota; Metazoa; Chordata; Mammalia; Carnivora; Felidae
Description: lncRNA (ENSFCAG00000050374.1)
Source: RNAcentral